GCGGAUUUAGCUCAGUUGGGAGAGCGCCAGACUGAAGAUUGUUAAUUUCGGUCAACUGUUAUCUGGAGGUCCUGUGUUCGAUCCACAGAAUUCGCA
This is a transfer RNA of Kazachstania africana CBS 2517, 96 nucleotides long. It matches the Rfam family "tRNA". From Rfam's summary of the family: Transfer RNA (tRNA) molecules are approximately 80 nucleotides in length. Their secondary structure includes four short double-helical elements and three loops (D, anti-codon, and T loops). Further hydrogen bonds mediate the characteristic L-shaped molecular structure. tRNAs have two regions of fundamental functional importance: the anti-codon, which is responsible for specific mRNA codon recognition, and the 3' end, to which the tRNAs corresponding amino acid is attached (by aminoacyl-tRNA synthetases). tRNAs cope with the degeneracy of the genetic code in two manners: having more than one tRNA (with a specific anti-codon) for a particular amino acid; and 'wobble' base-pairing, i.e. permitting non-standard base-pairing at the 3rd anti-codon position. The record is from Rfam. NCBI's taxonomy places the organism in Eukaryota, Fungi, Ascomycota, Saccharomycetes, Saccharomycetales, Saccharomycetaceae.